Molecule: ribosomal RNA, 494 nt
Filed under: uncultured bacterium
Lineage: Bacteria
Description: partial 16S ribosomal RNA
Rfam family: Bacterial small subunit ribosomal RNA
Source: RNAcentral
ACGAACGCUGGCGGCGUGCCUAAUACAUGCAAGUAGAACGCUGAAGGAGGAGCUUGCUUCUCUGGAUGAGUUGCGAACGGGUGAGUAACGCGUAGGUAACCUGCCUGGUAGCGGGGGAUAACUAUUGGAAACGAUAGCUAAUACCGCAUAAGAGUAGAUGUUGCAUGACAUUUACUUAAAAGGUGCAAUUGCAUCACUACCAGAUGGACCUGCGUUGUAUUAGCUAGUUGGUGAGGUAACGGCUCACCAAGGCAACGAUACAUAGCCGACCUGAGAGGGUGAUCGGCCACACUGGGACUGAGACACGGCCCAGACUCCUACGGGAGGCAGCAGUAGGGAAUCUUCGGCAAUGGACGGAAGUCUGACCGAGCAACGCCGCGUGAGUGAAGAAGGUUGUCGGAUCGUAAAGCUCUGUUGUAAGAGAAGAACGAGUGUGAGAGUGGAAAGUUCACACUGUGACGGUAUCUUACCAGAAAGGGACGGCUAACUACGUG